GAUAGUGGCCAUACCAGCCUGUCACUGCCCGAUCCCCUUAGAUCUUGGAAGCUAAGCAAGUCUGGGUCUGGUUAGUAGUUGGAUGGGAAACCACUGAGAAUUCCAGGUGCCACAGUGG
Gouania willdenowi (blunt-snouted clingfish) is the source of this 118-nucleotide ribosomal RNA. The record is from Ensembl. NCBI's taxonomy places the organism in Eukaryota, Metazoa, Chordata, Actinopteri, Blenniiformes, Gobiesocidae.